GAUGAAGAACGUAUUGAAAUGCGAUAAGUAAUGUGAAUUGCAGAAUUCAGUGAAUCAUCGAAUCUUUGAACGCACAUUGCGCCCGCCAGUAUUCUGGCGGGCAUGCCUGUUCGAGCGUCAUUACAACCCUCAGGCCCCCGGGCCUGGCGUUGGGGAUCGGCGGAAGCCCCCUGCGGGCACAACGCCGUCCCCCAAAUACAGUGGCGGUCCCGCCGCAGCUUCCAUUGCGUAGUAGCUAACACCUCGCAACUGGAGAGCGGCGCGGCCACGCCGUAAAACACCCAACUUCUGAAUGUUGACCUCGAAUCAGGUAGAAAUACCCGCUGAACUUAAGCAUAUCAAUAAGCGGAGGA
This 353-nucleotide unclassified non-coding RNA is filed under the name soil metagenome. Its description in RNAcentral is "partial contains 5.8S ribosomal RNA, internal transcribed spacer 2, and large subunit ribosomal RNA". The stretch from base 1 to 120 matches the Rfam family "5.8S ribosomal RNA", at positions 35 to 154 of the family's 154-position model. The record is from RNAcentral.